ACCAGACUCCUACGGGAGGCAGCAGUGGGGAAUAUUGCACAAUGGGGGAAACCCUGAUGCAGCGACGCCGCGUGAGUGAAGAAGUAUUUCGGUAUGUAAAGCUCUAUCAGCAGGGAAGAAAAUGACGGUACCUGACUAAGAAGCCCCGGCUAACUACGUGCCAGCAGCCGCGGUAAUACGUAGGGGGCAAGCGUUAUCCGGAUUUACUGGGUGUAAAGGGAGCGUAGACGGCAGUGCAAGUCCGGAGUGAAAGCCCGGGGCUCAACCCUGGGACUGCUCUGGAAACUGUAAAGCUGGAGUGCGGGAGGGGCAGGCGGAAUUCCUGGUGUAGCGGUGAAAUGCGUAGAUAUCAGGAGGAACACCGGCGGCGAAGGCGGCCUGCUGGACCGCGACUGACGUUGAGGCUCGAAAGCGUGGGGAGCGAACAGGAUUAGAUACCCGAGUAU
Molecule: ribosomal RNA, 446 nt
Filed under: uncultured bacterium
Lineage: Bacteria
Description: bacterial SSU rRNA
Rfam family: Bacterial small subunit ribosomal RNA
Source: RNAcentral